This 234-nucleotide long non-coding RNA is filed under the name Anas platyrhynchos platyrhynchos (common mallard). RNAcentral describes it as "lncRNA (ENSAPLG00000021986.1)". The record is from RNAcentral. Lineage: Eukaryota; Metazoa; Chordata; Aves; Anseriformes; Anatidae.
UAACGUUGGUUCCAGGCAUCUGGAAGAACCAUUAGUCCUGUGGUGGAAAAAUCACCAUGUGCAAGCUGAGAUCCAUGGACUUCAAAGACAACAUAAACUAUUCUGCAAUAUUGGUUAUUUUACAGUGGUUUUUUUUUGUUUGUUUGUUUUUCCUUUUUUAAUAUUGAGUGCGUACCUUGAGAUAAUUCCUGUUCAUUGUGCUUUUAGAGACAACCUUUCUACUCUAAAUGACAG